Molecule: transfer RNA, 68 nt
Filed under: Hemidactylus farasani (Farasan gecko)
Lineage: Eukaryota; Metazoa; Chordata; Lepidosauria; Squamata; Gekkonidae
Description: tRNA-Lys
Source: RNAcentral
CCCGAAGAAGCUAAUACGAGCAUUAGCCUUUUAAGCUAAAAAUGGGCACACCCUGUGCCCCUUUGGGC